CAAACGCUGGCGGCGUGCCUAACACAUGCAAGUCGAACGAGAAAUCCCGAGCUUGCUUGGGAGAGUAAAGUGGCGCACGGGUGAGUAACGCGUGGGUAACCUACCUUUGAAUCUGGAAUAACCAGCCGAAAGGCUGACUAAUACCGGAUACGGUUUUUAGGACUUAGGUUCUCUAAAUUAAAGGUGACCUCUUCAUGAAAGUUGCCGUUCAUAGAUGGGCCCGCGUACCAUUAGCUAGUUGGUGGGGUAAUGGCCUACCAAGGCGACGAUGGUUAGCUGGUCUGAGAGGAUGAUCAGCCACACUGGAACUGGAACACGGUCCAGACUCCUACGGGAGGCAGCAGUGAGGAAUUUUGCGCAAUGGGGGAAACCCUGACGCAGCAACGCCGCGUGAGCGAAGAAGGCCCUCGGGUCGUAAAGCUCUGUCAAGUGGGAAAAAAAUCUUUUGAUCAAUAGUCAAAAGACUUGAUGGUACCACUGGAGGAAGCACCGGCUAACUCC
RNAcentral lists this ribosomal RNA (501 nucleotides) under uncultured bacterium. RNAcentral's name for it is "bacterial SSU rRNA". It matches the Rfam family "Bacterial small subunit ribosomal RNA", at positions 30 to 504 of the family's 1533-position model. The record is from RNAcentral.